CCUUCGAUAGCUCAGUUGGUAGAGCGGUGGACUGUAGCGAAAGUUAGGAGAAGUUGCGAUCAUGCGAUCAAAACACUCCGAUCAUUGUAGAAAUCCAUAGGUCACUGGUUCAAAUCCGGUUCGAAGGA
Molecule: transfer RNA, 128 nt
Filed under: Anopheles merus
Lineage: Eukaryota; Metazoa; Arthropoda; Insecta; Diptera; Culicidae
Description: tRNA tRNA-Tyr
Rfam family: tRNA
About the family: Transfer RNA (tRNA) molecules are approximately 80 nucleotides in length. Their secondary structure includes four short double-helical elements and three loops (D, anti-codon, and T loops).
Source: RNAcentral